Molecule: ribosomal RNA, 497 nt
Filed under: uncultured bacterium
Lineage: Bacteria
Description: partial 16S ribosomal RNA
Rfam family: Bacterial small subunit ribosomal RNA
Source: RNAcentral
GAUGAACGCUGGCGGCGUGCCUAAUACAUGCAAGUCGAGCGAACGGACGAGAAGCUUGCUUCUCUGAUGUUAGCGGCGGACGGGUGAGUAACACGUGGAUAACCUACCUAUAAGACUGGGAUAACUUCGGGAAACCGGAGCUAAUACCGGAUAAUAUUUUGAACCGCAUGGUUCAAAAGUGAAAGACGGUCUUGCUGUCACUUAUAGAUGGAUCCGCGCUGCAUUAGCUAGUUGGUAAGGUAACGGCUUACCAAGGCAACGAUGCAUAGCCGACCUGAGAGGGUGACCGGCCACACUGGAACUGAGACACGGUCCAGACUCCUACGGGAGGCAGCAGUAGGGAAUCUUCCGCAAUGGGCGAAAGCCUGACGGAGCAACGACGCGUGAGUGAUGAAGGUCUUCGGAUCGUAAAACUCUGUUAUCAGGGAAGAACAUAUGUGUAAGUAACUGUGCACAUCUUGACGGUACCUAAUCAGAAAGCCACGGCUAACUACGUG